Molecule: ribosomal RNA, 855 nt
Filed under: Montenegrina umbilicata
Lineage: Eukaryota; Metazoa; Mollusca; Gastropoda; Stylommatophora; Clausiliidae
Description: Montenegrina cattaroensis umbilicata partial 16S ribosomal RNA
Rfam family: Archaeal large subunit ribosomal RNA (bases 347-592)
Source: RNAcentral
UAAAACAACUUGAUUAUUAUUUCCCGAAAGUGUAAGAUCUAAGAGUAAUAUUUAACUAUAGACAUAUAUAACAAAGCUGUGGCAUUAGCUUUUAAUAAAUAUAUCUUAGUGGUGAAACACCUACAAUUAUACUGAUAACUGGACAGUUGUUAAAUAUAUUAAGUUUAAAGUCAACCUACAAAGUGAUAAGAAUUUGUAGUUAGAAAUUUUUAUACGAGGAUUUUGUACCAUCAACUAAUUUUUAAUGGUAGCUAGCAAAAUUAUAAUAAUAUUACACCUUUUAUUCUAAAGUAGCAACUCACUCAAUAUAAUAAUAUAUAAAUUUGAUAAUGUAUAAAUGAGUACAUAAUAUAAAAUUAAUUUAAUGAACUCGGCAAAUAUUAUAUACGACUGUUUAACAAAAACAUAGCCAGUAGGUAUUUAAUUAUUGGUGCAACCUGCCCGGUGACUUUUAACGGCCGCAGUACUAUGACUGUGCAAAGGUAGCAUAAUCAUUUGGCUUUUAAUUGAGGUCUAGUAUAAAAGGAUUAACGUAUAGACGCUGUAUCAAUUUUAAAUUUAUUUAAUUUAUUCAUAGGGUGAAAAUACCUUAAAAAAGAAAAGCAGACGAGAAGACCCUAAGAAUUUUAAGAAAUAUUACAAAUAAAUUUAUGUGUGGCGAUUUUUGUUGGGGCAACAUUUUUUCAUUAAACAAAAAAGUAGUACAAUAACAUAACGAAAUAGUUUAAUAAUGUAUAAAUUACCUUAGGGAUAACAGCAUAAUUUUAUAUAAAGAUUGUGACCUCGAUGUUGGACUAGGAACUAUUAAGGCUAGUCGUUUUAAUAAAAUAGGUUCUGUUCGAACUUUAUUUCCUA